This 206-nucleotide unclassified non-coding RNA is filed under the name uncultured Russula. RNAcentral describes it as "sequence contains ITS1". Lineage: Eukaryota; Fungi; Basidiomycota; Agaricomycetes; Russulales; Russulaceae. The record is from RNAcentral.
UCGUAUAAAAUGGAGGUGCUCGGGCUGUCGCUGACCUUUGAAAAAGGGUCGUGCACGCCCGGAGUGCUCUCUCAUAUCCAUCUCACCCCUUUGUGCAUUGCCGCGUGGGUCCCCUUUUGGCUUGUUCCGAGGGGGUGACCUGCGUUUUCACACAAACUUGAAGCAAUGUAGAAUGUCUCUUUUUUUGCGAUAACACGCAAUCAAUA